UACGGAGGGGGUUAGCGUUGUUCGGAAUUACUGGGCGUAAAGCGCGCGUAGGCGGAUUGGAAAGUUGGGGGUGAAAGCCCAGGGCUCAACCCUGGAAUUGCCUUCAAAACUCCCAGUCUUGAGGUCGAGAGAGGUGAGUGGAAUUCCGAGUGUAGAGGUGAAAUUCGUAGAUAUUCGGAGGAACACCAGUGGCGAAGGCGGCUCACUGGCUCGAUACUGACGCUGAGGUGCGAAAGCGUGGGGAGCAAACAGG
RNAcentral lists this ribosomal RNA (253 nucleotides) under uncultured bacterium. RNAcentral describes it as "partial 16S ribosomal RNA". It matches the Rfam family "Bacterial small subunit ribosomal RNA", at positions 524 to 776 of the family's 1533-position model. The record is from RNAcentral.